This 827-nucleotide ribosomal RNA is filed under the name Enterococcus durans. Its description in RNAcentral is "bacterial SSU rRNA". It matches the Rfam family "Bacterial small subunit ribosomal RNA", at positions 64 to 860 of the family's 1533-position model. The record is from RNAcentral. Lineage: Bacteria; Bacillati; Bacillota; Bacilli; Lactobacillales; Enterococcaceae.
GUACGCUUCUUUUUCCACCGGAGCUUGCUCCACCGGAAAAAGAAGAGUGGCGAACGGGUGAGUAACACGUGGGUAACCUGCCCAUCAGAAGGGGAUAACACUUGGAAACAGGUGCUAAUACCGUAUAACAAUCGAAACCGCAUGGUUUUGAUUUGAAAGGCGCUUUCGGGUGUCGCUGAUGGAUGGACCCGCGGUGCAUUAGCUAGUUGGUGAGGUAACGGCUCACCAAGGCCACGAUGCAUAGCCGACCUGAGAGGGUGAUCGGCCACAUUGGGACUGAGACACGGCCCAAACUCCUACGGGAGGCAGCAGUAGGGAAUCUUCGGCAAUGGACGAAAGUCUGACCGAGCAACGCCGCGUGAGUGAAGAAGGUUUUCGGAUCGUAAAACUCUGUUGUUAGAGAAGAACAAGGAUGAGAGUAACUGUUCAUCCCUUGACGGUAUCUAACCAGAAAGCCACGGCUAACUACGUGCCAGCAGCCGCGGUAAUACGUAGGUGGCAAGCGUUGUCCGGAUUUAUUGGGCGUAAAGCGAGCGCAGGCGGUUUCUUAAGUCUGAUGUGAAAGCCCCCGGCUCAACCGGGGAGGGUCAUUGGAAACUGGGAGACUUGAGUGCAGAAGAGGAGAGUGGAAUUCCAUGUGUAGCGGUGAAAUGCGUAGAUAUAUGGAGGAACACCAGUGGCGAAGGCGGCUCUCUGGUCUGUAACUGACGCUGAGGCUCGAAAGCGUGGGGGAGCAAACAGGAUUAGAUACCCUGGUAGUCCACGCCGUAAACGAUGAGUGCUAAGUGUUGGAGGGUUUCCGCCCUUCAGUGCUGCAGCUAACGCAU